AUGGGGCCUGAUGGAGGCCCCGACAUGCCUAUAGAAAUUGGCCUUUUAGGACCCGCAGGGGAGGGUACAGGGCCAUGUCCACAAGAACAGAAGUGUGACUUUCUCAGGACCUGCUGGAGGAUUCUAGAGCCAUUGGUCGGAUACACAGCGACUUCGGCAGGGACUACUCAAAAACACAGUAUGAUGACUUUUCCUGCCUUCAUCUCCAGACCCAAGGAUACAGAACAAAGGCAACACAGAUCUGCACACUUCAAAAUGUCAACUGGAAUCUGCAAGCCCAGGUUCUCACAGGAGCUAAAGGUUAAAGGCCAAGGUGACAGGGGAGGCAGAUAGCAAGUAACCAAGAGAAAAUGUCAUGUGUCUGUGGCCACCUUCUCUACCUGUCAGAACCAAGCCACGGCUGACAGGUGGGAGCCACACCUGGACCUGGCCCCUCUGCCCGGGCUGCCCUUGAGCAUAGCAGAGGAAAUGCUGAGCUGGGUGUAGGUGUCCGGGGGAGAUGGGCAGUUGGCCACAGAGGCUACCUGCCAAGUACCUGUAGGACCAGUUCCUGGUCCUCAGCUAAGGUUAAACAACCAUUAUGUUUAUUUAUAUAUUUACUUGACAGGUAAUGUGCUCAGUGCUUUGAGAGACUAUAGUCUCUCCUAUCUUAUUUUUUUAACACUUUAUGGAGGUAUGAUUGAGAUACAAAAAGCUCUCCAUAAUUAAUGUAUGCAACUUGAUCCUGACCCUAACCCGAAUAUCUAGCUAGGAUUUAGAAUAUGUUCUGAUUUAGAAUAUGGUUCGUAAAUUAUAUGACGGGUUUUAGGAGCUGGGGAAUCCAGGACCAACCUUACCCUCCCUUGAAUGUGAUAGGUUGUAACACAUUCCGCCACAUGCUAUCUGCAGAGUGACCACACGAGGGCACCAGUGAGCACACAGCGCAAACCCCGCCCCCCACAAAGCCAAUGCUUCCCUCAUCCUGUACAACCUUGCUCAUUCAAUGUUUACAGAUCAUUUUAUAGAUUAUUAAAACUGUGACUUUGUUGAAUUUUUUAAAAGCCAAACUAAUUCCUUGAAACUGUUAAAAUUAUGUUUUCUAAAAUUCUCGGAGUUGGUCCUGGGGAGCAAAUGAAAACCUGGGGGCCUGGGAAAAACUGGUAUUGAAUACUUUAAGAUCUACUUAGAUAACAAGUAUGAAUUAUACUCUACUUAUUUUCAGAAAUAAUUCGUCUCAACUAACAGUAUUGAACUCACACAAUACAGUGCAUUUCGAGGGGAAAACAAAAAACAAGAAUCAACAGCCUCAAGAAGCAGAGAAAGAGCCACACCCAGGAACAAAGAAUGCACACCUCAGAGGCUGUGCUCAGGCCAGUGAGCAGUCUGCAGAUCCUCUGUAGCUAGAAUGCCCCCUGUGCCCCAGGAAAUAGUGGGUUGGGCAGAGCUUGUACCCUGAUGAUGCACUGUCCUAACCAAUAGCAAGUCUCCUAGUCAUUUCCUCCAUGAGACACCUCCAACCCCUGACUCCUCCAGCCUGUUUCUUGGAACUCCCGAUUCUCUUUUUGGCCUCAUUGUUUACUUUUCCCUUCACUUACAUAGUAUAUGUAUAUGUUUAAUUACAUACUAUUCUGUCAUUUAAAUAUUUUUGUCAUGUUCUCAAUGAAACUAUGAUUUGCACCAUCCACCCUGAUUUACAAUCACUUAUUGAUAUUGCACGACCUAACUGGGGACUCAGAAUACCCUCACAGUGUUCUGGCAAGGUCCUCACUAAGCCAGUUCAUCCUGCAGCUGUUGCAGUGAAGGCCUGAUCCAGGCACUGCUAUUUUUGUGCAAGUAAGACAGCACUAGCCAAAACUUCGGCUCAGCCACAUCAAAUGGCAUGUAGGCCCACCCUGAAGACACUUGCUAGUCCAGUGUUCCCCUAGUUAAUGUCCAUGCAACAGCCAUUGUGUCAAAUGGGAACUCACUAUGAGAGGGGUGGAUGACAGACAGAAUUCCUGAGAUAGAAUCUAUCUUGGAGACUACCUAGGAGUUCAUCACAUAGUUCUUGAAUGAAUAAAUUAAUCUAAAAAUAUUUCCUAAUUUUAUAAAUGAUGAACCUGAAUCUCACAUUGACUCACCUAAGUCGUAUUGGAAAUCAGUGACAGAGCCAGACUGAGAUUGAGUAUGACCUCCAGUGUGAAUACUGAGAGUGGCUUUCGCUGGAGCCACAACCACCCAUUUAACUUUUCUGGACUGACAGGCUCUGGUGUAACUCUUUGUGUGGCAUAUCCUGGGAACAAAGAUCAUGUCAGUGUCCCAGAAAUCUCUUACACUGAUUAUAAUGAGACUUUAUAAUGCCAAUGGAGUCCCAAG
Molecule: long non-coding RNA, 2334 nt
Filed under: Canis lupus familiaris (dog)
Lineage: Eukaryota; Metazoa; Chordata; Mammalia; Carnivora; Canidae
Description: lncRNA (ENSCAFG00030022526.1)
Source: RNAcentral